This 801-nucleotide ribosomal RNA is filed under the name Arthrobacter sp. GG9a. RNAcentral describes it as "bacterial SSU rRNA". It matches the Rfam family "Bacterial small subunit ribosomal RNA", at positions 53 to 866 of the family's 1533-position model. Lineage: Bacteria; Bacillati; Actinomycetota; Actinomycetes; Micrococcales; Micrococcaceae. The record is from RNAcentral.
ACCAUGCAAGUCGAACGAUGAUGCCCACUUGUGGGUGGAUUAGUGGCGAACGGGUGAGUAACACGUGAGUAACCUGCCCUUGACUCUGGGAUAAGCCUGGGAAACUGGGUCUAAUACCGGAUAUGACCUUCCAUCGCAUGGUGGUUGGUGGAAAGCUUUUGUGGUUUUGGAUGGACUCGCGGCCUAUCAGCUUGUUGGUGGGGUAAUGGCCUACCAAGGCGACGACGGGUAGCCGGCCUGAGAGGGUGACCGGCCACACUGGGACUGAGACACGGCCCAGACUCCUACGGGAGGCAGCAGUGGGGAAUAUUGCACAAUGGGCGGAAGCCUGAUGCAGCGACGCCGCGUGAGGGAUGACGGCCUUCGGGUUGUAAACCUCUUUCAGUAGGGAAGAAGCGUAAGUGACGGUACCUGCAGAAGAAGCGCCGGCUAACUACGUGCCAGCAGCCGCGGUAAUACGUAGGGCGCAAGCGUUAUCCGGAAUUAUUGGGCGUAAAGAGCUCGUAGGCGGUUUGUCGCGUCUGCCGUGAAAGUCCGGGGCUCAACUCCGGAUCUGCGGUGGGUACGGGCAGACUAGAGUGAUGUAGGGGAGACUGGAAUUCCUGGUGUAGCGGUGAAAUGCGCAGAUAUCAGGAGGAACACCGAUGGCGAAGGCAGGUCUCUGGGCAUUAACUGACGCUGAGGAGCGAAAGCAUGGGGAGCGAACAGGAUUAGAUACCCUGGUAGUCCAUGCCGUAAACGUUGGGCACUACGUGUGGGGACAUUCCACGUUUUUCCGCGCCGUAGCUAACGCAUUAAGUG